This 108-nucleotide unclassified non-coding RNA is filed under the name uncultured Cryptotrichosporon. Its description in RNAcentral is "sequence contains ITS1". Lineage: Eukaryota; Fungi; Basidiomycota; Tremellomycetes; Tremellales. The record is from RNAcentral.
GUGAUUUAUCUCUAAUAUCUACACACACCUGUGAACUGUUAAAUUGGUCUUCUGGACCAACUUUUACAAACAUUGUGUAAUGAACGUCAUAUUAUUAUAACAAUAAUA